AUCGCUUCUCGGCCUUUUGGCUAAGAUCAAGUGUAGCUUUUAGAAUUUUUAUAGUAGGAUUUUAUAUGUAGAAAUUCCUGUAAGCUACAUUUAAUGGCAGUUUUUAUGUUUGUUUUUCAGUUC
Molecule: small nuclear RNA, 123 nt
Organism: Bos grunniens (domestic yak)
Lineage: Eukaryota; Metazoa; Chordata; Mammalia; Artiodactyla; Bovidae
Gene: U2
Rfam family: U2 spliceosomal RNA
About the family: U2 is a small nuclear RNA (snRNA) component of the spliceosome (involved in pre-mRNA splicing).
Source: Ensembl